Ictalurus punctatus (channel catfish) is the source of this 152-nucleotide small nuclear RNA. Its record names the gene U2. It matches the Rfam family "U2 spliceosomal RNA". Rfam says of the family: U2 is a small nuclear RNA (snRNA) component of the spliceosome (involved in pre-mRNA splicing). NCBI's taxonomy places the organism in Eukaryota, Metazoa, Chordata, Actinopteri, Siluriformes, Ictaluridae. The record is from Ensembl.
AUCACUUCUCUGCCUUUUGGCUAAAAUCAAGUUUAGUAUCUGUUCUUACCCAUAGCAUGUGAUCAACAAUGACUCAGCUUGAUGUCAGAGACAAGCAUGACUUACCUGGUCAUAUGUGUUGCCUCGAUUGUACUUGGUAGGUAAGAUGCUUU